UGAGACCCCUCGCACGGCGUCCAUCCUGUGAACCUCCCCAGGGCCGGAAGGCAGCAAGGAUAAGCAGGCUCUGACGGGUGUGCGGGGGGUCCCCUGU
Molecule: signal recognition particle RNA, 97 nt
Filed under: Actinomadura sp. HBU206391
Lineage: Bacteria; Bacillati; Actinomycetota; Actinomycetes; Streptosporangiales; Thermomonosporaceae
Description: signal recognition particle sRNA small type
Rfam family: Bacterial small signal recognition particle RNA
About the family: The signal recognition particle (SRP) is a universally conserved ribonucleoprotein involved in the co-translational targeting of proteins to membranes. Archaeal SRP consists of a 7S RNA and homologues of the eukaryotic SRP19 and SRP54 proteins.
Source: RNAcentral